RNAcentral lists this long non-coding RNA (406 nucleotides) under Pelobates cultripes (western spadefoot toad). Lineage: Eukaryota; Metazoa; Chordata; Amphibia; Anura; Pelobatidae. The record is from RNAcentral.
GGGGCAGUGAGUGUCAGCCUCACUCAGUAGGGGGCAGUGAGUGUCAGCCUCACCAGUAGGGGGCAGUCAGCCUCAGAAGGGGGCAGUGAGUGUCAGUCUCACUCAGCAGAGUGGGGGGGGGGCAGUGAGUCUCAGCCUCACUCAGAAGGGGGGGGGGCAGUGAGUGUCAGUUUCCAGCUGAAUGUGGGGAGUGUGCUCCUCCCUCCCCUGAGUGCACACUCUCUCUCUCUCUCUGGGCUCCUUCUGUGUGAGUGCUCCCUCAGGCUGUGUGCAGUGAGUGUGGCUGCUCCCAGGGAGCUCUGUGAGUGCUGCGGCCGGUGUGCUCCCGGGGAGCUCUGUGAUUGCUGCGGCCGGUGUGCUCCCAGGGAGCUCUGUGAGUGCGGCUCCCUCACUGACACACAGCAGC